UCCCUGAUGGUCCAGUGGUUAAGACUCUGUGCUCCCAAUGCAGGAGGCGUGGGUUCAUUUCCUGGUUAGGGAA
Non-coding RNA from Bos taurus (domestic cattle), 73 nucleotides. The record is from Rfam. Lineage: Eukaryota; Metazoa; Chordata; Mammalia; Artiodactyla; Bovidae.